This 1950-nucleotide long non-coding RNA is filed under the name Venturia canescens. RNAcentral's name for it is "uncharacterized LOC122411725". Lineage: Eukaryota; Metazoa; Arthropoda; Insecta; Hymenoptera; Ichneumonidae. The record is from RNAcentral.
GAGUUAUUUUUCCCUCGCGUUCUUACGUAUUGAGCACCGAAGCACGCGUUAUAGGAUGCCUCGGCGUGUCCAACACCGAAGUAGGAACUGACCAAUUGUUCAAAGAUAAACUGUGGGUUUGUUUUGCUUCGUGGUGAAAGGGAAGAGCGUCACAGUAACACACGAGUUAUCCUUGGACCGAAGAGGCGUGUGCGUGUGUGUCGAGAUCGAGAGACAGUGAUGGAGAGGAAAAAGAAAGGAGAGGCUACCGUACCUUGCGUAAUUUCGUAAAACUCAUUUCAGCCAGAUUAUUAAAUAUUAUAGUGAAAUAAACGCCGAUCUGACGCGUUUCUUAAGUGCGACAUGUGCUUCUUUAUUGCUUUACUUUUUUAAUUAACGAACUGUCAAAUCUCGAAAUGGGUUUUCCUAACCUAACCUGCAUCGCAGUUCGCUCGACUGACGAUCGCGCUCGAUCGACUAAUUUUCAAGCCCACGAUUCUCAUCAUCUGUUGUUUUUAUAGUCGGUAGCACGAAUCUUGCACAUUGGAAAUUUAAUUUAAAAAUAAAUAUUCAAGUGUUUAUGUAUUUUUAGACAUUUGUCAGAUUCUUAUUGACAAUGAGGAGAAAAUAUCACUUGACAACUUAAUUCAGUGAAAAAACUAUAAUAUAACGUGCAACAGGACUAUUGAAGUGGGCAAAUUUUUUCACACUUUGGAGAGUUCGACUGUCGAUGUAUCACGUGAUGUCUUACAUACUUUGAGUUACGAUUCUGUGCAAAGAACCGGAGAAAGUGAUUGGGAUCCGAGUUUGUGUGUGUGUAAAUUCGUUUGUGUCUGUCGUAUUGGAAAGUUGAGAGUGAAAAAACGAAAUAUUGCUUCCUGUCAAUUUGGAGACAGCGAUCAAAUGCUCUGAGAGUGAAAAUUGUUUUUAUUAUCGUAUUUUCACUGUCCGCGGAAUAAAAUAUUAAAGACCGACGUUAAUUUUGCCAUGAAUUUGAGUUUUUUGAGAUAUUUAAGAAAAUAUCAUUUCGCGAUGAAAUAAUCCCGGAGAAAUAGGAGACAAAAUCACUUUCGUUGUCGAUUCGUAAAAAGAAAAGGUGAAAAGUGCAUACUUGACGGUUUAUUUGAAAUUCCCUGGACAAAGCCUCAAGCGAUCGAGAGUUCGCGCACUCCCCGACAACAAUUCAAAGUAUAUAUGCGGCGGUUAAAAUCGAUUUGUCCUUAGUCGAGAGAUGUACAGCACUUGCAAUUACGAAUUAUAAUGUCCAUGUGGCAUAAUUAUCCUCUUAUAUAUGAGCGCGUCAAAUUUAUCGUCAAUAGUACAGCCGGUGACGAUAAAUUCACACAACUGUUUUCGUGUUGCGGUAAAAAACAGGAAGUGGUUUUUUCCAAAUCACCGCCCCUCGUCGUUGUCCGUGUCACAGUUUUCUCAAAGUAUUUUUAACCAGAAGAAAAGUAUUGAUGCAAAUGAACAAUCGACCGACAAAUAUUUCGAGUACAGAGCGACUUUGUCCCACGAUAAAUCUACAAAAUUCAAUUGCAAGUCUGAUUUGAAUUUAAAAAAUUAAUUUACCAUCGCUCCAGAAAAAAUCCCCCACCAUGUUAUUAAAAAAUGGAAUGAAGUUACGUCAUUUGAUCGUGCAAUACAUUUAGACAUAGGAAUAAACAUGCUGACACUUUUUAUGGUCAAAUUCAGACUCUGCCUUAGCCAGUGGUCGAUGAAAUUAUUAACGGAUACACCGCGCGUCGCAGAUCGAAAAAUGUCACAGGUUUGGAAGCAUCGUGCGGAAAAAAUAACCGUUGUGUGUGCAUGAAAAAUUGUAAAUCGGCGUGUCGUGUGAAGCAUACAAAAUGCACGAGAGCCGGUGCAGCGUGAAGAAGCUUUUUGUGUAUUACGCAGUAAAAAAUCCACGUGCCGUUCCGGAUUAUAAAAAUGUAGAACGAAAUGCAAAAUAAAGUCAUCGCGAUCAUA